Molecule: long non-coding RNA, 15013 nt
Organism: Dromaius novaehollandiae (emu)
Lineage: Eukaryota; Metazoa; Chordata; Aves; Casuariiformes; Dromaiidae
Exons: 5
Source: RefSeq, a predicted model, not a curated record
UUUUUUUUUCUUUGAUAUGGCUAUUAGUAUCUGGUUAGACCACUGUAAGUCACCUAGGGAUCCUAUUUGGAGUGAGCUUGGCUGUGCAGAACAUUUGCUAUUUAUCCUCUUCCACGUUCUCCCAUUAACAUAUUUCUGUUGCAAUUUGCCAUGUAAAAUUUUUGUAUUAUUGCCUUCAGUCACAAGUUUAGCAUGGGGAGUGGAGAGGGAGAAGGAUUUGUGACUAAGCAGGCAUCCUGCUUGCAUUCAGGUGACUCACUUGCUCCAGGCAGGGCUGGAAGCGCUGGGGUCAGCGGGCAGGACGAGGCAGCACACACAGCGGGCGUUGCACCCCUGCCUGGGCCACAUGUUCCUUCUCAAACGUUAUCCCAGCGUGUGCUGGGAUCAUGGGUUGUGUUUUGAAUUGUAAUGGCUCUCGGUUGUCCGCAAUUAGAAGUGUGCCUUUGGUAACACAAGCGUGGGCACCUUGCGGCCCAAGCGCACUGGUUCACGACGUUACCUUUGGAGCUCUCUCCAACACAAAGCAGGAACUGGCUAGGCAACCUACAAAUGUGAUCAUACAGACAGCUAAUGUGGAAUGCUUUGCUACAUACUUAAAUAAGCCCUGCAGAUAAAUCAGAUGCUAUUGAAUGCACUGGUUUACACAAUUAAAAAGCUGAGGAGAUUUUGGGUUAUCUCUCUCUCCAGACGGUAGCAUUGUAUGGCAAUGAGCAGAAGACCCAACUAGAAAUCUUACAAGAUUGCUGUUAAAAUAGGAAAAGAGCAAAACUGCUGUUAAAGUUCUAUUCAAAUUCUACUCCCCACUGUUUUCCAUUAUGUUUGAAAACCUAGCGAUAGUAGCCUAAAAAAAAAAGCAAUUGGCAAUAUUUUGUCAGCUGGGUGUCUCUUACACCUAACUGCAUUAUGCAGAGUGACAAUGGAUCUUCCCAAAGAACCUAAUCAAGGUGGAAGAGAAAAACUGUGUUAAUUCACAAACCCCAUCACUUGAAAAGAGUCAAACAAUUCUGAAUAUUCUUCAGUUGAGUCUAAUUAGAGAGAUAUUACUAGAAGUUGUUUUUCUGCAACAAAGAGCUUUGAUGAUGGUUUUUCUUUUUUGACACUUUGUGUAUUGUGAGCCAUCAUUGCACCCAUUGCUGGGUGCGGAUUAACAACUGUUACUGUUUUUACAGAAAAUGAUGAAUGGUGCCAUUACUAACUCAGCUUCAUGUGAGCAAAAUGAAGUUUGUACUUUUUAACUUUUGUAGUUAUAGCAAUUACAACAAUUACUUUCAAAUUAUGGCUUGAACAGACUCUGCACUAAAGCUAAACAGUAACUGAGAACAACCAUCCUUCAGCUUUCUUAGAGAAGGCUGUAGGCAAAAUCCAAACUGCAAGUUCACUCCAUGCCUUGCUGAGUCAAGGGAAAGUUAUAAUGCAGCCGUCUUAUUUAGCUCUCUCAGCUAGCCAUUUUCAUAACAUUCAUCUCUACCAUAUCAUUUCACACUUUAGUAUAUAACUACAUCUGACUCAAAUACGAAAUGAAUAUUUCUAAAGCUUGAGUCAAAUCUCAAGUGCUUAUCUGGAUUUUUGAAGCCUGACUCAGAUAACUAGAUUAAUAGGCACCAUUUUACUUUGGCUUUAAAUAUAUCUAAUAGCUGUACCAGCCACUAGAAUUCAUCUCACUUGGUGUUCACCAUCAAAAGGUUUGAACUCUGCUCUCAGCUGGUCACCGAAGUUCCCUCUGUAGUCGGUGGAGAUCAAGAGGUGUCACUCCAUCCUAAGGCAGAUGACUGGUAUUAAUGAGAUCAGCUGCCCUUCAGAAGUGCCUGUUUCUUUCCUUGACUAUAGAGGGAGCCAAGGCAACUUGCUUGGAGCAGAAGCCCAACUUUUAGUCAGGACUACACUGAAAGUUGACUAGCUGAGCUCAAGGAAAAUUGCCCUUGUCAGGUAGUCUGCUGCCCGUCAUUUGGGCCAUGUAACUCUCUGUCACACAGAAGCAUAUCUUGCUGGGUAAAAAUCUUCCUCUAUUGAAAUAGAGAUGCCUCUGAAUACAAAUCAUCUGCUUCUUUCAUUGGCAAGCUGCUUUUGUUACAGUGAGAUGUGCAAAGAUCAUAGCUGAUACUUUCUGAAAUGUGGUACUUAAAAAUGUGGUUAAUAAGAGAUCUAGUAAUCUUUUAGAUUAUUAAACCUAUGGCUAAUAACAACAUUAAUGCCAUUUUUCUUAUUUGCUUUCCUGGAGCUAACCAUGAAACUCUACAAUCUUUCUUUGUUUUGUGAUGAGACCAGGAAAAGUAUCUUAGUGAUUUAAUCUAAUAUGAAAUGUUCUCUAAAAUACUUUGCAUAAAAAUGUUCUUACAAAGAAAUCUAUUUUCUAGCAAAAAACAAUUCCCAUAUCAUGUUUCUUGGAACUAAUUUUCCCCAUUCAUACAAACCAACCCUUAUAUCUUCCUGUUGACAGCACUCUGUUUUCUUUUCUUUUCUUUUUUCCUAGUACAUUUGUAGCAUGUGGAUCAAAGGUUUAUGGAUUCUUGUCUUUUCUUGAACCCACAAGCAAAGUAGCGACACAGCCAAGUUUUAAAAGUUUGCAAAUCAUUAAGAAACAAAGCAGACAAAACAUACAAUGUUCCCAAGAGACCUGAGACAUGAAAGCAUCUGUGGUGUGAUCUAUGUACAGAAAAUCUGCUGGGACUAGACUUAAUUGUUCAGUAGGACUUAGAAUGCACUAUGAUUCAGAUCUUAUGUUGUAAGUUUAAGGAAUCAGUCUAUAUAUUUUGCCUCAGAUCCCCCCAAUAUUAUGUCUGUGAUAGAGCUGAACCUGUCCAUUCCUCCAGACUGAACUUCAAAUUUGAGGACACUCUGAUCUCCAUCCAAAUUGUAAGUGUAAUAUAUGUAAUAUAUGUUCUCCUUGAAGGCAAGCUCUGCAGAAUUUUCCCAGUUUUUGGUUUCUUUUCAAACCUGAUAUGAAAAACUAUCCUUAGUUUUUGCCACUGACUUCAAGAUUUCAUCCCCCAACCUUAAAGUCUCGAAAUGACUGGGGAAGAUCCCAAGGCAGAUUGGAAAUUUUUAGGAUUCAGAAGGGGGAGAAUGAGGAUUGCUCAUACUGCCUAAUUUUAAGCAUAUUAAUAAGCUGUUAGCUUAGGAGGCUAUACACCCUCUGCAGAGCUGUGAAGGAGAGACUAUAAGUGCUCUGUAUAGUCUAGAGAGAGCUCAUAGUGCUUGAACUACGCUUGUUUCAAACGGCUCUCCAGAAAAGCCACGCUCUCUUUUUGUUGCCUAUUUUGGGAGGCCGGGAACACCAGCUGUGUGGACACUCCUCCCUGCUACUGGGAAAAUCAGUGACUCUCUGCAGGCCUGAUCCCAAAUGGAGACUAGUGUCAUUAAUGAUGGGCUGAGCUGUAUCUUGAAAAGAUCCUGCCUGCCAGGUUAGCCAGCUAACUGCAUGUGGCUGGCUUCCCAGUGCUGUUAUUUGCUCGUCUACUGAUCUUCACAUCAUCCACAAAUUUAAUCAGUGGUGGUUUUGCAUCUACCUGAAGAUUGCAGGUAAAAGUGCUGCAAUAGCUGAUUACUCCAAAACCCAGAAUUGCUCCCCUUUCAGUGAUGAUUUGUGACUGGCACCUGCUUAUUAUGAACCAGUUAGACAGUUCUUAAAACAUACUUGAGAGCCCAAAAGCUGCUUGCCCCUCUGGUCUCUCUCUGAAUGCCCAGCUGUGCAUUUUGCUGUAUCUGGACCACCAUCGCUGUUCUUGCUGAUCUCCUCAUCCAAGAGUGGAGAGGAGUGUUUUGAUUUGGUUUUAGCACUGAGUUCCUUUGAUAUUUAUCUCUAGUGAUAAAAUUGACUUGUCACCACUAUUGGUAAUGGGUAGAUAGGGAUUCCUGAUCACUAGUUUCUCCACAGAUCUAUGCUGCAAGCUGUUUUCUCACUGUGGUCCCCUGAGGAUACCUUAUCUCCAGCACUGUGUCAUUUCCUGCUCGCUUCACCUGACAUUUAGCCUGACAGCAUAGAGGCAGCCCGAUUAAUAUCAGACAGCAAAUUGGCACGUGCAACACAAGAGAGAGAUUCCCCUCAUUCUCCGCUCUUCCCAUAAACUCCUUUAUUCGGUGCUAAUGCUUUAAUCAGGCAAUAGUGAGGUAUUAAGUCAAAUGCCCUACAAAAUUCCUGUGUCUAUGCUGUUACCUCUACCAAUUUGCUUGGCAAGACUUAUUUUCCCAUAAAGCCAUCUUGACUGGCACCUAUUCUACUGCCAUCCUCUAAAUUUCUGCUAAUUGAAUCUCUUAUCAGCUUUUCCAUUACUUUGCUUGGGACUGAUGCCAGACUAACUGACCUGUAAUUACUAUGAUCAUUCUGCUUCCUCUCUCUGGCUUUUGGCAAUGUUGCAUAUUUCUACUGUUUCUACUAUUUCUAUUCUAACAACCUUUGGAUUUAUAGUACACCAGCUCUCUGAUUUAAAAGUAUUCAUUUCUAAUAAAAGGAUAUUAAUAGUGAUUUGGUAAUGUGAUGCAGGGGAGUCCAUUAUCAUUCUAUGUAGAUAAAUCAUCUUUUUUCUCUUCAAAUACUAAACAAGAGAGAGAGAAAGAGUGUGUGUGUAUAUAACAUAUAUAUUACUGUCUUAUCUACAAUAUUAUUAACAAUGUUGAUUUAGCCAUCCAAUAAUGUGCUCAUACCAUUUUAAGGAAUUGUAGGGGAUUGGGUAUAGUCCUGAUCCACCUUCUUACUUUCUUAGCAAUCUAGCAACAAAUAUUUCCCUGCUAGCCUUCUUUAUGAAGUUUCUACAUUUUUUUAUUGCUAAUUUAUACUGACUGCUGUCUAAUUUGAUACACGUAUCAAUAUGCAGCCAUAUGAUAAUAUGCUACGCAGUGAUAUUGUGUUGUUUUGGUGUUUUUUGCCAAAAAAAGAGACUUGAUCAGAAUCACUGUUUGGAUUUAAUCAAAUGAUCAGAAAAGAUGUCCUGACUUGCAUUUAAUCCAUUCUGAAUUGAAAGGUGGUUACUUUACAACCCAGAGUAUUUAUUCUAAUAUGUUCUAGUAAAGAUCAUAAGAUAUCCUCAACUCCAGGUCAUCUUUGGUUCCUUUUCCAUCGUCCUUUUCUCCUCUAUUUAAACGUUUAGUUGUUUGGAAAUGUUAGGGAUUCUCCCAAACCCAUUCACUUUUCUUUCAAAGGGUCAGUAUAUUUGUAAUUGUGUCACUCCAGGCAGCAUGUCAGUACACACCAGCAGAGCAGACUGAAGUUUUCCAAUGACAGCUGAAGCCUCCUUGCUCAUUUUACCUUUUUUUUGUAUCUCUUCUGUUUACUGUUGCUUCACAAUAGAAUGAAAUUUUAUAAAUACCUGGUAAUUUAGUUAAAAUAAGGAGCUAGACUUUUAACAAGAGAGCAUUUUUUUAAGGUUUGGCACUCAGAUAUCAAACAGAUGUUUAUUGUGCUUUUUAAGUGUCUAGGAGAUCUUGUCAAAAGUGUCUGGCUUGUAGAGUUAUUUUUAUGUUAUAGAGAAGUGUAUAUUAUUCUUUAUUUUCAUGUAUUAACUCAUGUAUAUUAUUUCAUAAAUGAGUUUUGGUUUUGCGUUGUGGAAUAAUACAUUUAGUAAUUGCCUACAGCUCUGCAUAUAAAUAUGCUCUACAAAGGUGUUUGGAUUAAAGAUGUCUGGCUGCAGCUUUAUUAAACAAACUGUUAAUUAAUCUUGAAUAUUAUCUAGCGUGCCAAGGCCUUUCCCUCUGCAGUCAUUGAGGGCCCAUCUAUGGAAUCUCUUCUCCAGUCGCUUGGGCUUUCUUGCUUCUUAUAUGCCAAACCCAUUUCAGUCUUUUCCCUAUACCGAAUGCUAGGCGUAAUAAUGUAGGUGCAGUCAGGGACUAAGGUCUUGAUAUCAAGCUUUGCAUUGCCGAAACAAAUUAUCAAUCUGGACAGGACUAUUGCCAUCAAAAUGUGGAAUGCAGAUCUCACCUUUAAAGUUGCAUCAAAGAAGAAUAAAACAAGAUUGACUUGUUAAUGGCAAUUUUUCUUGAGACUUCAGUCAUUUCCAGUAUUAUUCUUAAAAGAGAACUUUCAUUGUUAAGAAAGCGAAACUCUAGGAAUAGCAGUCCACUAAAUGUUCCCACUAGAUUCUGCACAGUCCACCAAUCCUUGUGACCUUGGCCCAGGUCUUACGCCUGAAUAAGGACUGCCAUAACCAAGAGGGCUUGGUUCUGAAAACCUUUCAAAAGACAGUUUAAAUCUAGGCUAGUGUUUCUGUGUGCCAAUGUCAAUCUUAGUCAGAUUCUGCCCAGGUUUAUGCUAAUGUAAAUCUCAUGCAAGACUGCUGACUUCAAUAAUGUUCUAACCAAGUAAAUAAAAUUCUGAAUAUUGAUUUAUUUUUCUUUAUGCUACUGUUUCAGUUCUCUUUCACCUUAACUGUUUUGUCUUAGUCUAUGUCAUCUCCUUUUGUGUUAGUGAGUUUCCUCUGCAACUUCUUUUUCAGUUUUUGUUUUUCUCUGGCCUUCUCCUCAUUCUUCUAAUAAAUAUAUGUAGUCUUAACCAAAAUAAGGUGGAAAGGUGUUUUUCCUGGGCUUCUUUCUGUGUCUUCUGAUUCCAGAAAAUGCCAGUUAUGGAGCAGUUAAUGGAGCAAAAGGACAAUUAUAAAUGAGCCUAAAUUUAGAGUUUGAGUCAAAGCCUACUGAAGACCAUGAGAGUCUUUCCACCAACUUCAAAAGGCUCUGGAGUAUGCUCAGUCUUACCUUGCUAUUUAACACAACUUUGGGUUAGAGCAGUGUUAACAGCCUAGGGAAACUGCCUUGAAAGUUAAGAUUGCCUUUAUUUUGAAAAGGAAAGUCUGAUGAAUUUUGUCAGACCCAGGAGCUUAAUUAAAACACAGGAAAAUUUCAAAGCGACAGCUACUUUAAGCCUUUUUUUUAAUUUUUUUUUUUGUCUUGGGUGGAUCAAGUAAUGUAAAAGAAAAAGGAGUGACUUCCAUUUCUUGAAGGUUGUUAUUUCAUGCAGAUGCCCAUCCAACCGCCAUUCACAGAGAGCAAAAAAACACUCCUUUGUUGCCCUUGAUCUUCUUACACAGGAGCUAAGUUAUGGAGAUUUGAUCCAUGUUACCCUGUUAUUGCACCACAAACAUGUCUGCCAUCUUUUAAAGAAAAUCUACCUACUUUCGUUACCAUCAUAUUAACCCUGUGAUGACCUUGCAUAUCAGAGCUACAUUCAGGAGUACCUUUCACUGGAACAGAAUGCUAAAUCAGCCUGUAAUUACAGGAUUUUAAACUAAUUUAUUGAAAAAUCAGCCCCACUGUGGAGAUUACAGGCCUAAUCACAUUCGCCUUUCAGCAGGACCCAGCCGCUCACUUGCUGCCCCACACACAAGGCAGAGGUGGAGAUCCCACUGCUGUCAUUGGCUGUCUUGGGCCAAGCCAGCCAGAAUAUUCUGCUUGCAGGAAAUAUCUAUUUCUUUUUCUUAAUUUAGGCUUUGCUGUGCUCCAGAGCGGUAGCCUCUUUUCAGCAUUUCUCAGGAAAUGGACACUGUGAAAAAAACCUGGCUUGAAAGCAAUGACACGUGGUACUGCCAAAACACAGUAUGCUCCUGAGGGUCCAGAAGGUGCUGGGUGAAGUGACAUGAACCAUCCCGGCUGUGCUCUUGCCGACCAUAGACAGCAUUUCACUCCAAAGUGGUACAUCUGUGCGCAUUAUGUAUGUGUGCACAGUAUGCUUUUAAAAAGCUGAGGUACAGUGGGCCUCCUGGGAAACCUGGGACAGUUUUAGCCUCCAGCUACUUCCUACGUCAGCAGUCAGCAUGGGAUAAAGUCCCAUGUGUCUUUGAACUUUGUUGUAAGAUUUGUAUAUAAAUCUUGUGCAUAUAAAUGUAUGUAAAUAUUGUAAGAUUUGUGUACACAAGUAGAAAUAGUACUGGCAUAUAUAUAUAUAUGUAUUUUUUUUUACUAGCACUGAUCUGAAUUUUCAAACAUUUUCUUUAUUUAGAUUCCCUCUUUCUCAUGUACAGAUGUACUACUUUAUUGAAUCAGGAAACCAAAAGCAAAAAUUGAGAAUAUAUUGUUUUCUCAUUUCGGUUUACAGCAUAUGAUAAAAUGUAGGUUUCUUCUCCAGAUAAACUGCAAGAAAAAAUUAGCACUUUGCCAGAAUCCCUAGAGCGCCUGUUAAAUACUUAACAAAAGACUUGUUUUGACAAAGGAAUAUCACCCCUAAUUAUCAAAUCCAUUCCAAACUAAACUGGGAAAAGAUGUGCGGGUAAUAUUUUCAGUCAGCAGUCAGGCUUUUGAAAACUUAAUUGUGGACAGUCAGAGCUAAUGCUGCAUUUUUGUCUUAUCAGUCACAGUUUCAUGGAUUUCAUUAGUUUCAUGGGUUGUUUUCUUUCAAUAGUUUAAGCAUAAUUUUUGACAUGUGGGGAAGAUGGACAUGAUGGGACAGUUUUUGGAAAGAAAAAUGCUGAGUUGAUUUCCUCAUCAUAUGUGCUGGUAUGUGGAGGCCCAGACCGCACAGUCAGCUCAGAAGGAGCUUCAGAAGCUGGCCUACGGCAAUAUACCUUUCCACACCAGGAAGUCCAGGUUGGAAAAGGUUUCUUGAUUUUUUUUUUUUUUUUUUUUGGUGUAGUAUCUGUUGAGAAUGAACUAAGUUCCUCUUCCAUUUCUCACUGUCCCACAUAAAGAAAACUUCUUACAGACUCCUUUGUCUUAAUUCUUUUUCACUUUGUUUUGUAAUCUCUUUGAGGACAGCUCUUGCCCACCCUCUUUUCUUUUUCCAGUACUGUGUUUCUUGGAGGUAUUGUUGUCUUACUUCCUCCAUGGUCUUUAUCCGUUCAGCUAGAAUUAAUGACAUUUGGGUGAGAGAGCAAAGAAAAAGCUAGAUCCUUCCAGUUUAAGGAUCAACUUUGUUGGCUUUGCAGAAGGACCAUCCCUGGAAAUUGUUGAAAUAAAGGGAAGCUGCACACUCAUCUCUGCCCUCAUAUUUUAAAGGCUUCAUUUUCAAACAGGCCUCUGUUUUUAGAGAACAGAAAAACCACAGGCUAUGCUUGUGAAGAAAAUCGUUUCAAAAGCCAUGCCAGAUCCUCAGCUCUUUACUCUGGCCCAGCACCGAGAAGCAAUGCUUAAACUGCCUACACAGGACAUCUGCUGAUCCUGCGGUAUAGGAGAGUCAUCGUGUUGCUUAGCUGCUUCUUGGACAUCUGCUCUUUUUAGCUUUCAGAGAGUGAUGGGACACGGCCAGAAUCUGCAAUAUUUUGAAAGAGAUCUGUCAGCAGAAUAGUCCCUGGAGGACUGCAUCCCUGCUGGUGUAAUUUCAGGCUGGUUCCCUCUUUGCUAGCUCCAAAUCAGCCAGAAAAGACCCUGCACCUCUGCAGACCAGAAAUCAGAGCAGCACUUUAAAGAAGCUUUUCCCAUCUCUGCCCCAAAAGGAGGUUCCUGGGCAGGGGGAGCUGUUCUGAACACUGAUGAUAACCUUUUCCAGGAAAUCUCUUACCCACUAAUAAAGACAAGAAGUGUGUAGAUUUGCACAGUCAGCAUGAAUCAAGAGUUAAAGAUUAAGUGAAGCUGUUGAGAGCAUGAGGCAGUCAGUGUCUCUGCUAUUCCCAGGCCAGAGUCUCUAUGUGACCAGCUGCCAGUGCCUGCUGGGGUGGUGGUGUUUGCUCCGUGUCAGCAAUGCCAAGGCUCCGACUGCCACCAUGAAUCUACCAGCCCUUCAGCCGCUCGAACUGCUCUGCUAUUCUUGGAUUGAGAACAUCAAAGACUUGACUACACUCAGUUAUGUUUUAUUUAUGACAGAACAGACGUGCUUGGGCAUGGUCUUACUGUUCCUACCUGAACAAAGCAGCAGAGUAAAUCAUUGACACAUCUGGCCCAUUGGAAACAGGAAAGCUCAAAGAUAAAUAAGCACUGACUGAGUAUACACUGUAACUUCUAUAUGGACAAGAAGGAUUGGGACUUAUGGAAUGUUAUUAUCUUCUUGACAGAAAACUGAGUUGGUAUGGAGUAAAUUAUUUGACUCUUUUUUCAAUAUUAUAUGUUCCUAUUUUCUUCUAUAUGUAGAAAGCAAAAACAUAAAGCUGCACUUGUAUUCUAGAACUUCAGCAAAGUAGACCUAGGAAAAUCUUUAAGAACAUUGCGUCCAAUGUAUAAGCUAUCCACAAACGGUUUAAAAAUCUUUAGCCCUGUCCUGCACAGAUACAAAUUCCAUGGUUAAACAUUCUUUGGGUCAUUAUUCAGAAGAGAAAGUUAUCCUAGUUAGGUAUCAAGAUAUCUGUCACUGGUUUGGAUUAGUGUAUGUAAGACAUUAAAGUUGCAAGGAAUUUCAGUGUUUGAGUAAAUAUGAAUUCCCCUUCAAGCACCUUAUGCACUGAGGACUAAACUAAGCCCUGGAAAAAGCAGGUGGAAAUCUCAUUGCCUUCAAAAAACAUUUGCAUUGUUUAUAUCAUCACUGAAUGUGGUGCAGUCACUUAACUCAGUUGAUCUAAUCUCCUGAAAUACUCUUUAGAUUUAACUCUGUUCUGCAAAUCUCCAUGAGACAGAUGUUUUAAUAGAGACAUAGACUUCAUAAUUUUAACCACUUUUUAAGGGUACUAGCACCAGUGAUAUGCAUAAUUCAUGAAUUUCACAUUGCAAACUUGUCAAGACAAAUGAACUAUUGCAAGCAUGUAGUUACUUACUGAGUACAUACAAAUCCAGAAAUAUUGUCCACACUUCAUUGCUCAAUGCAAAAAUACUUUUUUCCUAUUGAAAUAGAGAGGCAGCAUUUUAUAAAGUCUAUGUCCCAUCAAGAAGCAAGAGAGUGAAUAAGUGGAUUUCAUUAUUUUGGUCAUAAUGGAGAAUGGUGACACGUUCUGCUUUCCGCAAGUCUUAUUUACUAAAAUCCAUCAACAGUGAUUAGAAUUUUAAUUAGAAAAGCAUCUUAUAAUUUUCUCCAUCACUUUCAUUCUUCAGGACCAAAGGUCCUUUUCCAAGUUACUCACAGUGUAGAUUUUUUAAGCGGUUCAUUUACAAAUCUCAACCACCGAAAAGAAGCAGUCACCUCUGAGAUACAUGAACAGCCUUGGGAAAAAUAGCAGUGAAGGAAUUUUUUCUUUAUGACGCCUUUAAGUUUAUUAAAAAUCUCUUUGUGUCUGCGAUGCCCAUGAAGGGAGCCAAGGUGAUAGCUGUUAUUCUUUGUCUACUGCACAUUUGUCCAUUCCCAUUUAUCUUCUGCAUAGCAUUAGCUGAUACGUGAGGUAAAGUGCCCUUCCAGUACUCUCUGUGUGCUCAACACAUCAGGAAAAACCACCCAUGCUUCAGAAAGAUGCUCCUGGCUGCCACAGCAGCUCAAGGCAGACAAGGGAACAAAAAGGUUUGAAUCAGGCAAAUUAAGAAUGAUCUCUAAGAUAAACAUGUAUUAUUCAGAAACCUUCUUUAAAUUCCAGGAAGUCUGAAGUCCAUACCUCUUGCUUUGUGUUGCCCAAAGCCUGCUCUUUGUCUGCUGUCAGAUUUUCAAUGUACUACUGGGGGUGACUGACUUUUCCAUUUGUUUCCAAGCUCUAGUGCGUAACUAUUUUCUCACUCUUCAGCAGUGCCUGCAGAUGUUUGCCAUGGUUAAGCUUUGGGACUUCUGGCACGAAUUCCACCAGAUUUGAAAGGGAGGAAGAUGGUGACAUUUUCUCUCAGCUUACUCAAGCCACUCUUCUCCUAUUUAUGCCAUGCUGCACUGUCCCUGCCUAGAGUAACAAGAAAAUUUUACUCUUUGCACUUCAUUUUCCGUAGUCUAGAUGAUGCCUUAGUAGACAUCAUUUCUGCUGUUGUUUUUUUCCUUUCAUUUACUGUCUUCCUGUUUAACCAAGGAGGUGGAAGAAGGGAAAAAUAGCUGCCUUCAGUCCUGCUGCUAAGACUGAAGAUGGUUUAUUCAUCUGUAUAGAAUGAGUCACUCAUCACAGUACUUCCAAGAAGCCAGGAGUCUGCCUGACAUGUACCUCAACCCUCCUCACUUGAAUCAUCUGAAUACCCCAGAAGCCCCUCAGAAAUCCCAUUUACGUGUGUUUCAUAUCGCAGCGUAUUCUGAGUGGCUGCUACCAACCAGCUAUUUGCUUUCCUAUGAAAAAUUUGUGUGAAAACAUAAUCCAGAAGUGAAAAUGGCAUGAAAAUGGAAUUAUCUAUCAGACGGAAGGGGGUGAUCACUCCAAGUCAGGUGUGCAAGUUCAGAUCUCCCACUGGUGAUUAAAGACAGCCAAGUUGAGAUAUAGUGCGGUGGCUGAAAGCAGACCUGCAUUUGUGGCUGUCGGUUACUCUCUUCGAUAAGCUUAUCCAUUGGUUUCUUUCCUGUUAACUUUCACAUGUACAAUUAACCCAGGAUGUUAUAUGUUCUCAAAUAGAAAAUGAAAUUACAAAUGAACGAUAUUGCUGGGCUGGAAGGUCUGCUGCUGUGCUGCCCCAGAAUGGCCUCAGAGGUUAGGACUACAGCGGCAGAAGGAGCUCAACACCGGGACCUGCAGGGAGGCCCACCUUUCUGGAUUUAAGCUAAAUUCCUACUCACUUCAUAUCUGUAUUUGAAUGGGUUUUGCUGAGAUUGCGACCUGAGAAUGGAGCUAAGCCUCAUACUUAGGAGAAAUCUGUUAUAAAAGAGCGCAGACAACCACCAUGCUUCCUAUGACAUUGCAUUUGAUAGGGCUGAGGGAGGAGAGGAGAGGGGAGCGUAGGGGCCAUGCGGUCUGUUAGGUCUUAUCCUGGGGAUCCCAAAUGUGGUUUGAUUUGGCGAAGAGAUUGUUAAGACUUUACCAGGGCUGUCCUGGGGAAAGAGCAACAGAGCAAACAAUUAAUAAUACAUGGAGUUGCAGUCUGCCUGCCACCUGUUCAUCUAUAUGUCCAAGACAGAAGUGAGCCAAAGGAAGGAGGAGGGUAGAGCUGUGGAAACAUGUCACCUUUUCAACAAUGUCCUUGCUUCAGUGCAGUCUGCUGUACUGAUUAGAUAUCAUCACUGGGUUUCUCAUGGCAUGAUCUAUUGGCCAGGUAAACUUAGGGCUUAGUUUUGGCCUCUAGUCAGAUGGCAUCCAAAAAUAAAUAUCAGAGGACACCCACCUCUUUUCAAAAAGCCAACCAGAAUAAAACAUAGAUGCAAAAUACAGUUUGGCAAAAAAACCCACUAUUUCAAUCCAAACUGCAGUGGACAAAAAAACAUCAAGAAGUCCAUGUAUGUAUCAAAUUGUUGUCUUCGAGAGCAUGUUAACUCAGCCAGGAUAAGGUGGAAAGAAUGCCACUGGUAGGAGAAUUUCUCUUAUUUCAAAGACUCUUUAUUAUUUCCAUGAUUUUUUUUCACCCAUAGAGAUACACAAAACAAUAAAAAGAAGGAACAUGAAAGCUGCAAGUAUAGUAUGAAAGUCACAGUAUGCAAGAUUUAUCUUGUAGUCACAGUAUUUAUGUUACCCCUUUUAAACUGAUGUUUCCUUGUUUAAAAAUGUACACCUGCACAUUACCACUUGGGGUAAAUAAGUUUAUUAGCCAAGGAAUGUCUGAAUACUUUCUGGAAAUCCCAUAUAAAUGCAGUUAUGUCUUUUCUUAAGAUCCCCCUUUGGUACCAAACGCUAUCCCACUGCCAUACUCCAGGGAAAGAAAAGCAGUAAAUGUACAAACAGUCAGGAAAGAUGCAGGUGAAGAGGUUCCAGGGCUUAAAAACUUUUUGCAUGAUGAUUUGCAUGAUGAUUCACUGCAUCUUUCCAUGUAAAAUUUAAGUAUUCUCUUUCAUAUUACACCUAUGUCAGACCAAAUGCUCCAUGUAGAGACUAGGACUUUAUUAGUGUCUCAUUGGUAUUUGCUUUUACUUUGGAUUAAAACAUAAAGGCAGUGACAGAAGAAAUUCUGAUACUUGGCAUAAGAUUAAUAAUUGAGGGCCAUUCAACUUUGCUAAUCAUCCAUUUAAAGAGAAUUUCCUCAUGGAAAGAGAUUGCUCCACUUAGGAUAAACCAGUUUUUUUUCAUCUCUGAACUCAACAGACCAGAAGGAUGGAAAGAAAGUGAGGGGAGGCAAAGGAGCAAAGGGAGACGAAGCAAGGUGGGACAUUUUGACCAUUUCACCAAGAGUUGUAAGUGAAAAUCUCUCACCACCUUUAAAAAAAAAAGAAAGAAAAAGGAAGGGAAACAGAGCAGUAUGACAGGAGGCAAAAAAAUGAAGCUGGAGCCAAAGUCUCAGAGUAAGGGCUGAUGCCAGGCUCUGAAGGAGAAGCUUUUUGCCAGGAAGCAGAAGAGCAGAAGCAUCUCAGUCUCCUUAAAAGACUAGAUAAACUCAAAGGAUUGUCAAAGGAAGAAAAUAAAUCACAACAAUAAAAUGCAUUCAGGUGACUUCUUAUUUUUCCUUGCUGAAUUACAUUUCUUGUAUUACCUAAAUUAUAGAAUAAUCAUGUCAUGACCAGAGUGAACAGGCCUGGAGCUAUGGAAAAGUUGCUGCCAAAGUUAUGGGCAAUCCAUAAGAGGAGCACUGGCCUUAAAGCCUUUGAGCAGUAGGACUGUGAGACCCCAUUUCUAGAACGGCGAACCUAGGCCUGGCUUUGUGGAUUAGAGGAAGAGGCAGUGCUGAAGCCGACUUGGGUCAAGGUAAGCUUGCAAGAACAGGGAUCCAUCACAGUGGAUAUGAAGACUGUAGCCUGUUCAGGCCCCAUCUGGGGCAGGUCUGUUGGAGCUGUGACUCUGAUUUAAAAUGAGGACAAAAUUAAUGAAUAUAGUAUAUGGGUGUAAUUUUGCUCACUUUGACUGGAACUUCAUUCCAACCCAAUGAAAUGGUAGGACUUCCUGCAGAGUAAGGCACUGUUAAACUGGUACUCUUAUACAUAUACAGCCCACUUUGUUUACACAUUUUAAGUUACAGUGCUUGUAAUCACCCUUUUGGCAGGCCAACAAAUAGAUACACAAAAAAGUGAAUCUGUCUGUACCUAGAUAGUUGCCAGGGAUUCCAAUGAAAUAUAAAUAUAUGGCCUGAACACUGUAAUAUGCAAACACUGUUAUAGGCAGUACAUAUUUAAGCAUGAACGAUAAAUAUAUGAUUUAUUGAAGACAAAAUAAGAGAUUGGAGUACUACUUAAUCUGUAUAAAGAUCAGUUUUUGCUAAACGA